GCGGCGUGCCUAAUACAUGCAAGUCGAACGCUUCUUUUUCCACCGGAGCUUGCUCCACCGGAAAAAGAGGAGUGGCGAACGGGUGAGUAACACGUGGGUAACCUGCCCAUCAGAAGGGGAUAACACUUGGAAACAGGUGCUAAUACCGUAUAACAAUCGAAACCGCAUGGUUUUGAUUUGAAAGGCGCUUUCGGGUGUCGCUGAUGGAUGGACCCGCGGUGCAUUAGCUAGUUGGUGAGGUAACGGCUCACCAAGGCGACGAUGCAUAGCCGACCUGAGAGGGUGAUCGGCCACAUUGGGACUGAGACACGGCCCAAACUCCUACGGGAGGCAGCAGUAGGGAAUCUUCGGCAAUGGACGAAAGUCUGACCGAGCAACGCCGCGUGAGUGAAGAAGGUUUUCGGAUCGUAAAACUCUGUUGUUAGAGAAGAACAAGGAUGAGAGUAACUGUUCAUCCCUUGACGGUAUCUAACCAGAAAGCCACGGCUAACUACGUGCCAGCAGCCGCGGUAAUACGUAGGUGGCAAGCGUUGUCCGGAUUUAUUGGGCGUAAAGCGAGCGCAGGCGGUUUCUUAAGUCUGAUGUGAAAGCCCCCGGCUCAACCGGGGAGGGUCAUUGGAAACUGGGAGACUUGAGUGCAGAAGAGGAGAGUGGAAUUCCAUGUGUAGCGGUGAAAUGCGUAGAUAUAUGGAGGAACACCAGUGGCGAAGGCGGCUCUCUGGUCUGUAACUGACGCUGAGGCUCGAAAGCGUGGGGAGCAAACAGGAUUAGAUACCCUGGUAGUCCACGCCGUAAACGAUGAGUGCUAAGUGUUGGAGGGUUUCCGCCCUUCAGUGCUGCAGCUAACGCAUAAGCACUCCCGCCCCUGGGGAGUACGACCGCAAGGUUGAAACUCAAAGGAAUUGACGGGGGCCCGCACAAGCGGUGGAGCAUGUGGUUUAAUUCGAAGCAACGCGAAGAACCUUACCAGGUCUUGACAUCCUUUGACCACUCUAGAGAUAGAGCUUCCCCUUCGGGGGCAAAGUGACAGGUGGUGCAUGGUUGUCGUCAGCUCGUGUCGUGAGAUGUUGGGUUAAGUCCCGCAACGAGCGCAACCCUUAUUGUUAGUUGCCAUCAUUUAGUUGGGCACUCUAGCAAGACUGCCGGUGACAAACCGGAGGAAGGUGGGGAUGACGUCAAAUCAUCAUGCCCCUUAUGACCUGGGCUACACACGUGCUACAAUGGGAAGUACAACGAGUCGCAAAGUCGCGAGGCUAAGCUAAUCUCUUAAAGCUUCUCUCAGUUCGGAUUGUAGGCUGCAACUCGCCUACAUGAAGCCGGAAUCGCUAGUAAUCGCGGAUCAGCACGCCGCGGUGAAUACGUUCCCGGGGCCUUGUACACACCGCCCGUCACACCACGAGAGUUUGUAACACCCGAAGUCGGUGAGGUAACCUUUUGGAGCCAGCCGCCUAAGGUGGGAUAGAUGAUUGGGGGUGAAUUCGUAACAAGGUAACCGGAAUCGGAAGGGUGCGGCUGGAU
RNAcentral lists this ribosomal RNA (1518 nucleotides) under Enterococcus hirae. Its description in RNAcentral is "bacterial SSU rRNA". It matches the Rfam family "Bacterial small subunit ribosomal RNA". The record is from RNAcentral. Lineage: Bacteria; Bacillati; Bacillota; Bacilli; Lactobacillales; Enterococcaceae.